Molecule: long non-coding RNA, 582 nt
Filed under: Mytilus galloprovincialis (Mediterranean mussel)
Lineage: Eukaryota; Metazoa; Mollusca; Bivalvia; Mytilida; Mytilidae
Source: RNAcentral
GUAGAACAGUGGUUGCCAAUCAGAUAUAUAUUUAUGAAUUUGAAAAAGCGGCAUCAGCAUAUGGAGUAUAUAUGUGUGUGUCUCAAUUGAUACGUUACUCUAGAGCUAGCUCAAAGUAUGUUGAUUUUGUUGAACGAGGUAUACUUCUUUCUCAAAAAUUUCAAAGACAGGGCUAUGAAUCAAUCAAAUUAAAGUCAUCACUCAAACAAUUUUAUGGCCACCAUCAUAAGCUGAUAUGCCAUAAUGACAAAAGUGUGUUAGAAAUCAUAUCUCAGUGAUAUUCUUCCUCAGUCAUAACAAUUUCCAUCAUUACCGAACUGAACAAAAAUAUAACAUGACGGGUACGUAUACGGUGCAGAAAUGCUUACCCUUCGAGACCUGAUUUCAGCUCCUGGUUUUAGUAGAGUUCUGAUGUUUCCUACUUAUUAUUUGUAGUUGAUUAAUGUCUUUGGUUUUAUGAGUCUUUGGUUACUCCUUGGUUUUGAUUGUUAUUGUCUUAUACACUAUACCUUAUGGAUGUAUUUACAUGAUAAAGGCUUGUUAUUACACUUGCAUAUAUGAAUAACACGUGACAAGAAGGUU